UAGAGUUUGAUCAUGGCUCAGAUUGAACGCUGGCGGCAGGCCUAACACAUGCGUGUCGAGCGGUAACAGGAAGAAAGCUUGCUUUCUUUGCUGACGAGCGGCGGACGGGUGAGUAAUGCCUAGGGAUCUGCCCAGUCGUGGGGGAUAACAGUUGGAAACGACUGCUAAUACCGCAUACGCCCUACGGGGGAAAGGAGGGGACCUUCGGGCCUUCCGCGAUUGGAUGAACCUAGGUGGGAUUAGCUAGUUGGUGAGGUAAUGGCUCACCAAGGCAACGAUCCCUAGCUGGUCUGAGAGGAUGAUCAGCCACACUGGAACUGAGACACGGUCCAGACUCCUACGGGAGGCAGCAGUGGGGAAUAUUGCACAAUGGGCGAAAGCCUGAUGCAGCCAUGCCGCGUGUGUGAAGAAGGCCUUCGGGUUGUAAAGCACUUUCAGCGAGGAGGAAAGGUUAAUAGUUAAUAACUGUUAGCUGUGACGUUACUCGCAGAAGAAGCACCGGCUAACUUCGUGCCAGCAGCCGCGGUAAUACGAGGGGUGCAAGCGUUAAUCGGAAUUACUGGGCGUAAAGCGUACGCAGGCGGUUUGUUAAGCGAGAUGUGAAAGCCCCGGGCUCAACCUGGGAACUGCAUUUCGAACUGGCAAACUAGAGUCCUGUAGAGGGGGGUAGAAUUUCA
Molecule: ribosomal RNA, 677 nt
Filed under: uncultured Vibrionaceae bacterium
Lineage: Bacteria; Pseudomonadati; Pseudomonadota; Gammaproteobacteria; Vibrionales; Vibrionaceae
Description: bacterial SSU rRNA
Rfam family: Bacterial small subunit ribosomal RNA
Source: RNAcentral